This 170-nucleotide unclassified non-coding RNA is filed under the name uncultured Penicillium. Its description in RNAcentral is "sequence contains ITS1". The record is from RNAcentral. Lineage: Eukaryota; Fungi; Ascomycota; Eurotiomycetes; Eurotiales; Aspergillaceae.
CCGAGUGAGGGCCCUCUGGGUCCAACCUCCCACCCGUGUUUAUUUUACCUUGUUGCUUCGGUGGGCCCGCCGAAAGGCCGCUGGGGGCUUCUGCCCCGGGCCCGUGCCCACCGGAGACAAACCGAACUCUGUCUGAAUGUUGCAGUCUGAGUAUAUAACUAAAUUAGUUA